CAAGCGGUGGAGCAUGUGGUUUAAUUCGAUGCAACGCGAAGAACCUUACCUACUCUUGACAUCCAGCGAACUUGGCAGAGAUGCUUUGGUGCCUUCGGGAACGCUGAGGCAGGUGCUGCAUGGCUGUCGUCAGCUCGUGUUGUGAAAUGUUGGGUUAAGUCCCGCAACGAGCGCAACCCUUAUCCUUUGUUGCCAGCGAUACGGUCGGGGACUCAAAGGAGACUGCCGGUGAUAAACCGGAGGAAGGUGGGGAUGACGUCAAGUCAUCAUGGCCCUUACGAGUAGGGCUACACACGUGCUACAAUGGCGCAUACAAAGAGAAGCGACCUCGCGAGAGCAAGCGGACCUCAGAAAGUGCGUCGUAGUCCGGAUCGGAGUCUGCAACUCGACUCCGUGAAGUCGGAAUCGCUAGUAAUCGUGGAUCAGAAUGCCACGGUGAAUACGUUCCCGGGCCUUGUACACACC
This 465-nucleotide ribosomal RNA is filed under the name uncultured bacterium. RNAcentral describes it as "bacterial SSU rRNA". It matches the Rfam family "Bacterial small subunit ribosomal RNA", at positions 926 to 1391 of the family's 1533-position model. The record is from RNAcentral.